GGCUGGUCCGAUGGUAGCGGGUUAUCAGAACUUAUUAACAUUAGUGUCACUAAAGUUGGUAUUCAACCCCCCACUGCUAAAUUUGACUGGCUUUUA
RNAcentral lists this Y RNA (96 nucleotides) under Microcebus murinus (gray mouse lemur). RNAcentral's name for it is "Y RNA (ENSMICG00000047303.1)". It matches the Rfam family "Y RNA". From Rfam's summary of the family: Y RNAs are components of the Ro ribonucleoprotein particle (Ro RNP), in association with Ro60 and La proteins. The Y RNAs and Ro60 and La proteins are well conserved, but the function of the Ro RNP is not known. The record is from Rfam by way of RNAcentral. Lineage: Eukaryota; Metazoa; Chordata; Mammalia; Primates; Cheirogaleidae.